GAUGAAGAACGUAGCGAAAUGCGAUAAGUAAUGUGAAUUGCAGAAUUCAGUGAAUCAUCGAAUCUUUGAACGCACAUUGCGCCCGCCAGUAUUCUGGCGGGCAUGCCUGUUCGAGCGUCAUUACAACCCUCAGGCCCCCGGGCCUGGCGUUGGGGAUCGGCGGCGCCCCCCGUGGGCACACGCCGUCCCCCAAAUGCAGUGGCGGUCCCGCCGCAGCUUCCAUCGCGUAGUAGCUAACACCUCGCGACUGGAGAGCGGCGCGGCCACGCCGUAAAACACCCAACUCUUCUGAAGUUGACCUCGAAUCAGGUAGGAAUACCCGCUGAACUUAAGCAUAUCAAUAAGCGGAGGA
RNAcentral lists this unclassified non-coding RNA (352 nucleotides) under soil metagenome. Its description in RNAcentral is "partial contains 5.8S ribosomal RNA, internal transcribed spacer 2, and large subunit ribosomal RNA". The stretch from base 1 to 120 matches the Rfam family "5.8S ribosomal RNA", at positions 35 to 154 of the family's 154-position model. The record is from RNAcentral.